UACGUAGGGUGCGAGCGUUAAUCGGAAUUACUGGGCGUAAAGAGUGCGUAGGCGGUUCUUUGGGUCCGCUGUGAAAGCCCCGGGCUUAACCUGGGAAUGGCAGUGGAAACUAGAGAACUUGAAUCUGGCAGAGGGGGGUGGAAUGCCACGUGUAGCAGUGAAAUGCGUAGAUAUGUGGCGGAACACCGAUGGCGAAGGCAGCCCCCUGGGCUGAGAUUGACGCUCAGGCACGAAAGCGUGGGGAGCAAACAGG
This 253-nucleotide ribosomal RNA is filed under the name uncultured bacterium. Its description in RNAcentral is "partial 16S ribosomal RNA". It matches the Rfam family "Bacterial small subunit ribosomal RNA", at positions 524 to 776 of the family's 1533-position model. The record is from RNAcentral.